UGAGAGAAACUGUGUGAAAUUGAUCGGUCAACUAGAACAGUUGAAGCUAGAGUACCCGGAUGACGAUUCAAAAGAAGGUACUUCCACAACUAGUCUAGCUACUCCCAUGGAUGGCACGACAGGAAAAGUUCUUAGUCCGUUAGUAGUCUGGAGUAAAAGGAGACCACCAAGUAAUUGAAGAACGUACCUCGUUGAGAAGGCUCUCAAGAAACCGAGUACGAGAAGGAGAUUGCCAACAAUCGAGAUGAGUAGUCACUUAUCAAGAGAAGAUAGACCAAAUACAAAUAUGAGCGGCACACAACAUGAGGCUCCGCAAACCCAGGUAUCUUGGCUACACUCUCAAGAAAGUCAAGUUUGGACACAUACGCCGGAUUAUUUUUAUACUCCAUCGACUGCUCCUCCACCUCCAGUACAAGCGCAACCUGUGAGAUUGAAUCUCUCGGAUCAGGAUGAUCAACAAAUGCCUAGCUAGUGGCAGCCAUGAUGGUGUUGUAUUUAUGAUGGUGAUGGUGUUGUCCAGUUGGAGGUGCUUUUUGUGUAUAUGCUAAUUUGAACACUUAUUGUUGGGCAUUUGUUGUAAGUGAAGUGAUUUUUGUAUUUAUGAUGGUGAUGGUGUUGUCUAGUUGGAGGUGCUUUUUGUGUAUAUGC
Long non-coding RNA from Juglans microcarpa x Juglans regia, 648 nucleotides. RefSeq lists it as uncharacterized. The record is from RefSeq and is a predicted model, not a curated record. NCBI's taxonomy places the organism in Eukaryota, Viridiplantae, Streptophyta, Magnoliopsida, Fagales, Juglandaceae. The transcript has 3 exons.